Molecule: ribosomal RNA, 757 nt
Filed under: uncultured Bathyarchaeota archaeon
Lineage: Archaea; Thermoproteati; Candidatus Bathyarchaeota
Description: bacterial SSU rRNA
Rfam family: Archaeal small subunit ribosomal RNA
Source: RNAcentral
CCCGGGAAACUGGGGCUAAUAUCCGAUAGGUGAGAAAACCUGGAAUGGUUUUUCAUCCAAAGGGCUUUGAAGACAUGCUUUUCAUUGUCGCCUGGGGAUGGGGCCGCGUCCGAUCAGGUUGUUGGUGAGGUAAUGGCUCACCAAGCCUUUAACCGGUACGGGCCGUGAGAGCGGUAGCCCGGAGAUGGGUACUGAGACAAGGACCCAGGCCCUACGGGGCGCAGCAGUCGCGAAAACUCCGCAAUGCACGGAAGUGUGACGGGGCUACCCCGAGUGCUAUCCGCUGAGGAUGGCUUUUCCUUGGUAUAACUAGCCAGGGGAAUAAGGAGAGGGCAAGACUGGUGUCAGCCGCCGCGGUAAUACCAGCUCUCCGAGCGGUAGGGACGAUUAUUGGGCUUAAAGCGUCCGUAGCCGGCUUAGCAAGUCUCCUGUUAAAUUCAGCGACCUAAUCGUUGAGCCGCGGGAGAUACUAUUAGGCUAGGAGGCGGGAGAGGUCGACGGUACUUCCGGGGUAGGGGUGAAAUCCUAUAAUCCCGGGAGGACCACCAGUGGCGAAGGCUGUCGACUAGAACGCGCUCGACGGUGAGGGACGAAAGCUGGGGGAGCGAACCGGAUUAGAUACCCGGGUAGUCCCAGCUGUAAACGAUGCGGGCUAGGUGUUGGGGUGGCUACGUGCCACUUCAGUGCCGCAGGGAAGCCAUUAAGCCCGCCGCCUGGGGAGUACGGCCGCAAGGCUAAAACUUAAAGGAAUUGGCGG